AUAAUUUUAGUACUGAAACUCAAAUAAGUACUAUUAUAAUUGUUUUCCAGUAUCCAUAGGUGUGCUGACUGCUACUCAACCUAAAUGAAAGGACCAAGACUCCCAGUUUACAAAGCUCACAAAAUUCCUUCUUCUGCAAAGGUCACUGAAAGUCAGUGGGAAUCAUUUUCAUAGAGCUGAUGGUUUUAAGAAAACAGCUGUCGUUUCCCAAGGCCUCGUUCUUCAGUGGUUAUACUCAGCUCAGAAGCAGAAUCUGAUGUCCUUACUUCUUCAUGUUUACCCAUAAAUACAUUCACUUUGCCCAGGAGGCAAAUCAUA
Molecule: long non-coding RNA, 318 nt
Organism: Gallus gallus (chicken)
Lineage: Eukaryota; Metazoa; Chordata; Aves; Galliformes; Phasianidae
Exons: 2
Source: RefSeq, a predicted model, not a curated record